UCAUGGUUGGCUCAGUCAGUAGAGCACGUGACUCUUGAUCUCAGGGUCGUGAGUUUGAGCCCCACACUGGGUG
This 73-nucleotide transfer RNA is filed under the name Felis catus (domestic cat). It matches the Rfam family "tRNA". Rfam says of the family: Transfer RNA (tRNA) molecules are approximately 80 nucleotides in length. Lineage: Eukaryota; Metazoa; Chordata; Mammalia; Carnivora; Felidae. The record is from Rfam by way of RNAcentral.